AGAGUUUGAUCCUGGCUCAGGCUGAAAGCUGGCGGCAGGUAGGCUACACAUGCAGUCGAGCGGUAGCACAGGAGAGCUUGCUCUCUGGGUGACGAGCGGCGGACGGGUGAGUAAUGUCUGGGAAACUGCCUGAUGGAGGGGGAUAACUACUGGAAACGGUAGCUAAUACCGCAUAACGUCUUCGGACCAAAGUGGGGGACCUUCGGGCCUCACGCCAUCAGAUGUGCCCAGAUGGGAUUAGCUAGUAGGUGGGGUAAUGGCUCACCUAGGCGACGAUCCCUAGCUGGUCUGAGAGGAUGACCAGCCACACUGGAACUGAGACACGGUCCAGACUCCUACGGGAGGCAGCAGUGGGGAAUAUUGCACAAUGGGCGCAAGCCUGAUGCAGCCAUGCCGCGUGUGUGAAGAAGGCCUUCGGGUUGUAAAGCACUUUCAGCGAGGAGGAAGGGUUCAGUGUUAAUAGCACUGUACAUUGACGUUACUCGCAGAAGAAGCACCGGCUAACUCCGUGCCAGCAGCCGCGGUAAU
RNAcentral lists this ribosomal RNA (528 nucleotides) under Enterobacteriaceae bacterium II0_LL. Its description in RNAcentral is "bacterial SSU rRNA". It matches the Rfam family "Bacterial small subunit ribosomal RNA", at positions 8 to 524 of the family's 1533-position model. The record is from RNAcentral. Lineage: Bacteria; Pseudomonadati; Pseudomonadota; Gammaproteobacteria; Enterobacterales; Enterobacteriaceae.